Molecule: transfer RNA, 68 nt
Filed under: Urocricetus kamensis (Tibetan dwarf hamster)
Lineage: Eukaryota; Metazoa; Chordata; Mammalia; Rodentia; Cricetidae
Description: tRNA-Gly
Source: RNAcentral
ACUUUCUUAGUAUAAUUAGUACAGCCGACUUCCAAUCAGCCAGCUCCAGUAAACCCCGGAAGAAAGUA